AGUGGUAAAUGACAUGGCACUGAUGUGACACUGAUUUGGCAAUGACGUGGCGCGUGUGUAGCGCACUCUCCGUCGUGAGAGUGGUAUUCAGUUUUGAGGAGUGAAAAUAAUUCACUUUAAAGAUGUUAAGAGGGUAAAUAAACGGAAAUUAAGUUUAAGUGCUAAAGUGAGUUGUGGCGACAAGUUCGGAAGAAAAAAGAUGCCUUUUCUCAAAUAUUUACUACUCCCUUCAUUUCAUUUUAUCUAACAUUUUUUUAUUUUUUAAAUAUCAUGUCAAGUUAAAAAAUAUCACAUAAAAUAAAACUGAUAAGUAUAAAAGUAAAGAAAGAAUAGAAGAGUUGAAGAAAAGUGAAGAUGAAAUUAUUCUGAUGCAAAUAUUUAUAGAGAGAUAUAAGGGGAUCUAGAAGACAAACGUAAGAAAUAAUGACAUAUAACUAAGCAAAUUGGAGUGGCUUGGAUUUCUUUUUUAGGACAAGAAAAUCGUAGGAAGUAUUACUAAG
Molecule: long non-coding RNA, 500 nt
Filed under: Capsicum annuum
Lineage: Eukaryota; Viridiplantae; Streptophyta; Magnoliopsida; Solanales; Solanaceae
Description: long non-coding RNA (CANN_LNC009620)
Source: RNAcentral